GCUUGCUUCGGCAGCAGCAUAUACUAAAAAUUCGAAUAAUACAGAGAAGAUUAGAAUGGCUCCUGCACAAGGAAUGACACACACAUUUGUGAAGCAUUCCAUAUUUUU
This is a small nuclear RNA of Pipistrellus kuhlii (Kuhl's pipistrelle), 108 nucleotides long. The record is from RefSeq and is a predicted model, not a curated record. Lineage: Eukaryota; Metazoa; Chordata; Mammalia; Chiroptera; Vespertilionidae.